ACAGUCAAUGAUUAUCAGGAAGUAAGCAAAGACUGGAGUGUCAGACUCAAACUCAAAGUGUAAAAUGAUAACUGAAAUUGAAGUUUGAUUCAGAUGGCCACCUAAGCAAGAUGUAACUUGUUCCGAGAUUUAAGAUGGGGUCCCGUCAACCAUGGGACAACACCCCUCACACACUGACAGAGUUCGCUCCCUUGAGUUCGGAAGUAAGACCAAGCGGAGGGAUUUUUUCCCGAUUUCUUAGAAGAGGAAAAGAUGAAUCAGAUAAUUCAGACAGCUCUUCCGCCCCUAGCAGUAGAUUGUCAUCGAGGGAAACUUCAGUUGAGAGAAGCAAACUGCCCCCUGGUGACACUCACGGCGGAGUUAUUGUCGAAAGUGUCGACCCAUCUUCUGUACUUCCCACAGAAAAAUACUGGAUGAAAAAUGAUGAUGAAAAUGGAAGCCAAUCGAGUUUAGAGGGUCAGGUCCCAUCACAAUGGAACCAAGAAACUACCCCAAAGAGAACACUCUCCAGUGUACUGAGUCGUCUGGGCAACAUACUGGAGAGAAGAAGCACUACUCCUCAGGCAUACAAGGACAGUGAUUUCAAGCAGUACUGGAUGCCGGACAGCAGCUGCCGUGAAUGCUACAACUGUGGAGACAAAUUCACGACGUUCCGCCGGCGACAUCACUGUCGAAUCUGUGGGCAGAUUUUCUGCAGUAAAUGCUGCAACCAAGAACUCCCAGGAAAAAUCAUCGGUUACAAAGGUGGUAUCCGUGUGUGUCAGUAUUGCUGUAAAGUCGUCCUCCGAUACGCCCAGCAGUCCGAGUCUAGUGGAGAUAUGAAGAUGAUCAGAGAGGACCUGAAGAGGUUGUCUCCCAUUGACUCGGAGGUGAUGCUCUCUCAGGAGUUUGGACUUUGGAUGCCCACUAGAGCGCCCUCUGUCCACGAAGACCAACUUCCAUCGCAGAGAUCUGUAAGCCCCCAAGAUGCAAACAACGGUGCCAAGUCCACGCCCUUUGACCUCACACCAAUGGCUGACAUCUCUAUUCAAGAGAGCCUUAUUCUCACUGAAGAUUCGGUUCAGCUCCGUAUGCUGUGGCGACAGAUACAAGAUGCGGAAACCGGGGUCGAGAUGCAGAGUCACCGCAUUCGCCUGCGCACGUAUCUCAGUUGCAUUGUAGGUAAAGAUCUGGUCACAUGGCUGGUGGAUCACGACAAGGUGGCAAAGAGAGAUCAAGCUGUUGGAAUUGGGCAGGCUCUGUUGUUUGCCAACUACCUGGAACCAAUCACAAACCAGAGGAUCUUCCGAGACGAUUUCUCUCUUUACAAACCAGGAGAGCAAGCGAUUUCGUAUGUUGAGUCGCAGUCUGACACUGAAAACGAGGCCACGACUGCCGAAGAGACGAGUAGUACAGAACCGCAGUGGGUUCGCGAGAUUCAGUCUAUCGACAGAGACGAAUUUGACAUUUCGUUUGAGCGUCAGUCGACCGCGACCGACUCUGACCACCAGAAGAGUCAGUCGUCCGAGACGAGCACGCAGACAAGUUUCUACCUGGGAGAGAAGACCGAAUGUGGCAGCGUGCCUAAUGAAGUCUUAAAGUUGACCGCAGCCCCCAGAGAUGGUGGGGAGGAACCGCUACCAAGACAGGACUUCUCAACCACCGGGCUCACUGAUGAUUUCAUUAAAGAUGCUUUGUUUGUGGGCCAAUCGCCUCACGCCCCCGAUUCCAUCUGUUUCCCUCACGCCUGGCGCAACAUAGAGCAACUCCGUGAGGAGAACGGGGAGAAAUUGGCUUACUCAAGACUGAGACAAGCCCACUCCGAGUUAUGGGACGCCCUGACGAAACAACUACUGAGUCAUAACGGUCUGUCGAUGAGCUGGGAGUGCGUCAUGUCAUCCAUUAUAGCUCAGAUCAGUCGCUUCGUUAAGCCCGAUGUGCAGGGGGAGGGGGACGAGUUAGACAUACGCAAGUACAUCCACGUAAAGAAGAUUCCCGGAGGUCAGAAGACAGACACAAGUAUGCUGCAUGGUGUUAUGUUCACCAAGAACAUAGCUCACAAGAAGAUGCAGCAACAGAUCUCAAACCCUCAGAUUAUGUUGCUCCGUGGCGCUAUCGAGUACCAGAGAGUGGAAAACAAGUUCUCAUCACUGGAGCCACAGAUUCUCCAGGAGCGCGAGUUUCUGAGGAACAGUGUGUCGAAGAUCACAGCAUUCCGCCCCAGUAUUGUGAUCGUAGAGAAAUCCGUGUCCAGAUUGGCCCAGGAGUUUCUCCUAAGCCAGGGAGUCACACUGGUGUUCAAUGUUAAACUGCGAGUGAUGGAGAGAUUGGCGCGAUUCACCCAGGCUGACAUCGUUCCAUCCAUUGACAGUCUGGUCAGCCGCCCCACCCUGGGGUUCUGCCACACCUUCAAGUGUCAGUCGUACCUCCUACCCAGUGGAGAGACGAAGACGUUUGUGGUGUUUGAUGGGUGUGCCACUAACCUCGGCUGUACAAUUAGUCUGAGAGGAGGAACUUCUGGUGAACUGCGCAAAGUAAAAGACAUUUUAAAAUUCAUGAGCUACACUGCGUACAACUCGCUACUGGAAAUUUCCUUCUGUAUGGACGAAUUCGCCAUGCCAGCGGGGACACCGGACGAAACCUGUCCAAUCGAAGGAAUCGGGGACGGAGAGAAAAAUGGAGAUGAUGUCCCAGAUCAGAGCUGUGACAUCGAUGUCGAGAAUGGAGUGAUCACGAAUCCCAGUGAUGAGAACAGCUCUGAAGAAGAUGAUGAGAAGGCUGUGUGCAAUAUUCAAGUUCAGUUUGAAGACGAUAAAGAUGAUUCAGGAUCUAACAUUGACAGUUUACUGGAAACUAACCAAAAGGAAGCGUCUUUAGGAGGUUUUGUACAUUUAGAAAGAUCGCCAGACAAUCAAAGCAGUAGAGUUUUAGAAAGACAGAAAUCCGAACAUGGUGCUCAAAUUCAGCAUGAGGAAAUCACUAGAGAUGAUGGGAAUAAUAAGAAUUCUUUCACAGAAAACCAGAAGCAAGAUCAGAAAUGUUUUAGACAAAAAGACGAAGAAAAUGCUAAUAGUGAAGAUUUUACGAAAUUUGAGAAAGGGCUGACAGCUUUUGAGGGCAAAGAUAACCUGAAGAGCUCUCCUCUUUUGAGAAAUACAAAUCUGCUUCGGAUCGACUCUGAGAGUCAGAUCAAAAGAACCUCGUGUGAAAUAACCGAGCUGACAGAUGCAAGCGACCCGCUACUGAACUACCAGAAGACGAAAGACGAGUCGAUCUUCGAGAGUUCGCUGGUCGAGUUCCAGGAACACAAGCAGACGAAGCAGCAUCUGUUUAAACGUCUUCUCUCCGGCGUCAUUCUGUCUGUCUGUCCUUACCAUCAAUACAGCCUCCCGUACCUGGAGUCGCGGCAAGGGAUUGGCUGUAAGCUGCGCAAGUUCCUCUCCGAGGAUCUCUACUACUCGCCACUGUUCGAAGGUGAAGGUCAGAGUCCGAGGUCAAAGUACCAUGACCUUGACUACACGACGAAGUACUCCACGAAGACCAACAUCCAGAUCACUGAAGCGCAUCCGUUCAUUCUGUGCAAGUUGACAGACAGUUAUCUCGAAAACCGUAUUCAGGGUAUGCUUUCUGAUUUCCGUGCAAGAGGUGGCAGAAUCAAAGUUCUGUCGAAAAACCACGCUAAACAAAACGGUGUCCUGGGCGAAUCGUCUCCUAAACGACCAAAUUUUAUGAAUGAAACAAACGACAAGGACAGAAGCAAAGUAUCCACGAUCAUGUUUGACAAGAAGAUCGACUGUCUGAAUCCGCUGAAUCACCAGAAGAUCUCUGUUCUGUUUAGUAGUUACUCUCACAAGUCAACCAACCACCCAAACCCUUGUGUCACUCCAUGGUUGGUAAAAAUGGAGUUCUAUGGUAAAAAUGACAUCACACUGGGAGGAUUUCUUGAGAGGUUUUGUUUCAGGGAGACGUACCUCUGUCCGUCAGAAUCUUGUGACACCCCAAUGGUCGACCACAUACGGAGGUUUUCUCACGGGACCGGCUGUAUCAACGUGUUGGUCAAGAGACUGGACAAUGAGAUAGCGGGUGGGCAGAACAACAUUCUCCUGUGGAGCUGGUGCUGUGUGUGUAAACAGGUGACUCCAGUGGUUCCUAUCUGUGCUGACACCUGGAAUCUGUCGUUUGCGAAAUUCCUUGAGCUUCGUUUCCAUGUCAAACAGUUCACUCGCCGAGCUGCAGCCGAGCCAUGUAACCACUCGCUACAUCGUGAUUACAACUUGUACUUCGGUUACAGAGACAUUGUCACAUCAUUUAGGUACUCUGAGAUCCAGCUCCAGGAGUUGGCGUUGCCGUCGAUCGUUGUUGAUUACCACCCUUUUCCCAUUCAGCCUGGCAGAGUGAAGGAUGUGGUGAAAUACAUCACUAACAAAGGAAUGGAGAAGUUCAGUGCCAUCUUGGAGUGCACGAUGAAACUGCGCAAUGAGAUCCCCAGUGAAAGUAGUGCGAGGGCUGUGUCGGACUUCGUCACCGAGCAACAGUGUGAGAAGUCCAAACUGAGUCACCUGGCUCAAGACAUACAGCAGAAAAUCACCGACCUGCUUGAUGAUGAUUCUAACACGGAUGUUCUGACGUGCAUGUUUGAGGCUCACAGUGACAUCAUCAGACUGAAGCGGAUGAUCGUAGAGGCUGUGUUUAGGUGGAACACCAAGAUUCAGGAGUUUCUGAGUAGCCAACAGAAGAAGAUGAAACAAGCGACAAGCGUGAAGAAAGACAAGGACAAGGACAUGCCCGCCUCAUCUGUAGACGACGUUGAUCGCUCAUCACCGAAAACGUACGAGAAAACCAGAACCGGUUCCGAUCCUCAAAUCAUAGAUGUUUCUAACCUUUUAACAGUGGCAUCAAUAUCAUCGGGAUCUUCUAUGUCUGACAGACCACUGACAUCGUCUGUAAAUGUGGACACAGAAGACCAGACUGAUGGACGGACAGACAAAUGGUCGAGAAGGAAUAUCAUUGCCAGCUUUUGGUCAGGAUCGAACUUUGUUCCCGUGACCUCGCCAUUUGACCCAGCUGAACAUUACCUACUUCCGCCAUCCGACCGGGUUCCAGUUGUUAUCUAUGACUACGAGCCCAGCUCUGUGAUAGCUUACGCUUUGAGCUCCAGUGACUAUCAUGUUCGUCUACGAGAAAUUCAGUCUUGUUUUGGCUCGUCUAAGAAAGACAAUUCAGGCACAUCAAAGAGUGGGGAUUCUCCAUUGACCGGUGCUGACAUUGGCAAAGAAACUGGUCAAAAAAGAACAGGAAGUGGGAUGCUGUCAUUUUUUCGUGGUCCGAAAGACCAGAGUCCGUUUUUGUCGCGGAAAGCGGAUUACGCUGAUGCUGUCCGAGGACAUUGAGUCUUACUCUCUCUUUGCUACUUCGUCAUCGAGUGAUUCGGACAAGACCAAGUCCAGCAAUAAACAGACACCGAACAGUCACAUUGAAUUACAAUUUUCCGACAACGUUGCCAAAUUUUACUGCCGAGUCUUCUUUGCG
RNAcentral lists this unclassified non-coding RNA (5508 nucleotides) under Gigantopelta aegis. RNAcentral describes it as "1-phosphatidylinositol 3-phosphate 5-kinase-like, transcript variant X1". The record is from RNAcentral. Lineage: Eukaryota; Metazoa; Mollusca; Gastropoda; Neomphalida; Peltospiridae.